This 644-nucleotide ribosomal RNA is filed under the name uncultured bacterium. RNAcentral's name for it is "bacterial SSU rRNA". It matches the Rfam family "Bacterial small subunit ribosomal RNA", at positions 232 to 885 of the family's 1533-position model. The record is from RNAcentral.
CGCGGCCUAUCAGCUUGUUGGCGAGGUUAUGGCUUACCAAGGCGACGACGGGUAGCCGGCCUGAGAGGGUGUCCGGCCACACUGGGACUGAGAUACGGCCCAGACUCUUACGGGAGGCAGCAGUGGGGAAUAUUGCACAAUGGGCGCGAGCCUGAUGCAGCGACGCCGCGUGAGGGAUGACGGCCUUCGGGUUGUAAACCUCUUUCAGUACAGACGAAGCGUAAGUGACGGUAUGUACAGAAGAAGCACCGGCCAACUACGUGCCAGCAGCCGCGGUAAUACGUAGGGUGCGAGCGUUGUCCGGAAUUACUGGGCGUAAAGAGCUCGUAGGUGGUUUGUCGCGUUGUUCGUGAAAACCUGAGGCUUAACCUUGGGCGUGCGGGCGAUACGGGCAGACUGGAGUACUGCAGGGGAGACUGGAAUUCCUGGUGUAGCGGUGGAAUGCGCAGAUAUCAGGAGGAACACCGGUGGCGAAGGCGGGUCUCUGGGCAGUAACUGACGCUGAGGAGCGAAAGCGUGGGGAGCGAACAGGAUUAGAUACCCUGGUAGUCCACGCCGUAAACGUUGGGUACUAGGCGUGGCGUCUUAUCAACGGAUGCCGUGCUCGAAGCUAACGCGUUAAGUACCCCGCCUGGGGAGUACGG